RNAcentral lists this ribosomal RNA (727 nucleotides) under Palmaria palmata (dulse). Its description in RNAcentral is "eukaryotic LSU rRNA". It matches the Rfam family "Eukaryotic large subunit ribosomal RNA", at positions 394 to 1204 of the family's 3401-position model. Lineage: Eukaryota; Rhodophyta; Florideophyceae; Palmariales; Palmariaceae. The record is from RNAcentral.
AGCACUUGAAACCGUCACGGGGGAAGCGGAUUGCGUGAGUGAUGGUGUCGCUUGUUCAGCGCUUUAUUGCGUGCAUUCUGGCGGCGCCGUGCCGGCGUGGCUGGCUGGACUGUGAUUUUGACAGUCUCGGCUGGUGAGGGCUCCCUCGUAUGAGGUGAGGACGCGGGCAAAAUGACGCAAUACGACCCGUCUUGAAACACGGACCAAGGAGUCUAGCACGGCUGCGAGUCGAAGAGUGAUUAAACUCAAGGGCGCAGUGAAAGCGAAAUUAUAAGCAAAUUGGGGAGGCGUUGCGUUUUUAACAAAAUGUCCUACCUCGAGCAUUUGUGCUGGGACCCGAAAGAUGGUGAACUAUGCCGGAGUAGGGCAAAGCCAGAGGAAACUCUGGUGGAGGCUCGUAGCGAUGCUGACGUGCAAAUCGCUCGUCGAACUUGGGUAUAGGGGCGAAAGACUAAUCGAACCAUCUAGUAGCUGGUUCCCUCCGAAGUUUCUCUCAGGAUAGCGGGCCGACACGCGUUUGUUGUUUUGUGCGGUAAAGCGAAUGAUUAGUGCAUUUGGGGUACGAAGUACUUCGGGCGAUUCUCAAACUUUAAAUGCGCAAGGGGGUGGCUGCUUAAUUGAGCCUACUCUUUGAAAAACGUCGGCCCUGUGGGCCACUUUUGGUAAGCAGAACUGGCGAUAAGGGAUGAACCUUAAGCGCGGUUAAGGCGCCUCAUUACCCGCUUAU